This 468-nucleotide ribosomal RNA is filed under the name uncultured bacterium. RNAcentral describes it as "partial 16S ribosomal RNA". It matches the Rfam family "Bacterial small subunit ribosomal RNA", at positions 28 to 507 of the family's 1533-position model. The record is from RNAcentral.
GACGAACGCUGGCGGCGUGCUUAACACAUGCAAGUCGAACGGAAAGGCACUGCCUUUGUGGGGUGCUCGAGUGGCGAACGGGUGAGUAACACGUGAGUAACCUGCCCCUGACUUUGGGAUAACUUCAGGAAACUGUGGCUAAUACCGGAUAUGAGCUCCUGCUGCAUGGUGGGGGUUGGAAAGUUUCGGCGGUUGGGGAUGGACUCGCGGCUUAUCAGCUUGUUGGUGGGGUAGUGGCUUACCAAGGCUUGGACGGGUAGCCGGCCUGAGAGGGUGACCGGCCACAUUGGGACUGAGAUACGGCCCAGACUCCUACGGGAGGCAGCAGUGGGGAAUAUUGCACAAUGGGCGGAAGCCUGAUGCAGCAACGCCGCGUGCGGGAUGACGGCCUUCGGGUUGUAAACCGCUUUCGCCUGGGACGAAGCGAGAGUGACGGUAAUGGGUAAAGAAGCGCCGGCUAACUACGUG